Molecule: non-coding RNA, 25 nt
Filed under: Mus musculus (house mouse)
Lineage: Eukaryota; Metazoa; Chordata; Mammalia; Rodentia; Muridae
Source: RNAcentral
UGCCAUCGCACCAGAUUUUUAGACA